Molecule: ribosomal RNA, 492 nt
Filed under: uncultured bacterium
Lineage: Bacteria
Description: partial 16S ribosomal RNA
Rfam family: Bacterial small subunit ribosomal RNA
Source: RNAcentral
AGUGAACGCUGGCGGUAGGCCUAACACAUGCAAGUCGAACGGCAGCACAGUAAUAGCUUGCGCUUACGGGGGGCGAGUGGCGGACGGUGGAGGGAUACAUCGGAAUCUACGUUUUCGUGGGGGAUGACGUAGGGAAACUUACGCUAAUACCGCAUACGACCUACGGGGGAAAGCAGCGGAUCUUCGGACCUUGCGCGAUUGAAUGAGCCGAUGUCGGGUUGGCUAGGUGGCGGGGUAACGGCCCACCAAGGCGACGAUCCGGAGGUGGUCUGAUAGGAGGAGCAGUCAAAUGGGAACUGAGACAGGGGCCAGACGCCGACGGGAGGCAGCAGUGGGGAAUAUUGGACAACGGGCGAAAGCCUAAUCCAACCAUGCCGGGGGGGAGAAGAAGUUCUUCGGAUUGUAAAGCACUUGAAGUUGGGAGGAAGGGCAGGAAGUUAAUACCCUGCUGGAUGGACGUUACCAACAGAAUAAGCACCGGCUAACUUCGUG